ACGCCACCAAACCCCGUGUGUGAAACAAAAAGGUAACUCCCUUCGCAGUCAUCUUUGCAACACUGGAUUGCAUCAACAUCAGAAGCUAAAGCCUCCCUCUCUCUAGUUAAUGGUAUCCUCCUAUAUGUUAUAUUAUAGCCCUCAUCUUUUAGGGCAGCAUAAACUUCAGCUGGUGUCUUCACAUCAUCUGCAAAGAUGUUUUCCCAGUAUCCUAUGACACUGGACUGGUUUGUUGCUGGGUUAUAUUCUUCACGAUGUAAAAGCAUUCUUCCUCCAGAUUGCCUCACCUCAGAUACUAUAUCCUCUUUUAGUCGUGCCUCCAUAUGUUCUACCAUGGGACCAGUAAUUCCAACAUGCUUGAGUGUAUCAACAGGUUUAUGCAACUCCCUGAGGACAAAUGGUAUGCCAUUAAUGUAAACAACUGCUUCUUCUCUGAGAUCGGUCAAUAUCACUUUAUGAGCAAAUGAUCCUUCUACCUUGGGCUUGGCACCCAAAUAUGCGAGCAUCUCUUUAGCACCAGCAAUUGUUGG
This 530-nucleotide unclassified non-coding RNA is filed under the name Hevea brasiliensis (rubber tree). The record is from RNAcentral. Lineage: Eukaryota; Viridiplantae; Streptophyta; Magnoliopsida; Malpighiales; Euphorbiaceae.